Molecule: long non-coding RNA, 563 nt
Filed under: Vombatus ursinus (common wombat)
Lineage: Eukaryota; Metazoa; Chordata; Mammalia; Diprotodontia; Vombatidae
Description: lncRNA (ENSVURG00010020216.1)
Source: RNAcentral
CUGCUGCCCUCUUGCCUCUCCUGCCCGGGGAGAGCCCGGAGCCCUGGAAACUCUUCUCGGCUCCCUAGGAAGCUUUCUCUGGAGGAAUAGAGAGCUUUGCUUAUUGCAGCAGGUAUGGGGUAAGCCCCUGGGCCAGCAUGGGUGCUGAGCUAGGCCCCGUCCUGACGUCCUUCCCGUCCUGAGACAGAGGUUGGCACGGUCUGUCUGCUCUGACGCUGGAUCCUUGGGAAUCCCGAGGACUCUGCUGCCUUCCAGCACACACGGAGGAUGGCUCAGGACAUGCUUCUGCCUCCCAAGAGCCUCCUUGUCUGUGACCAGCUGGAAGGAGAGAGCCAGGUCAGAACUCUGGCCCCCCGGGAGUGAGCCUGCUGCUGGCCUGCUGGGAUGUGUCUUAGUGCAGCCCUCCCCAGCGAUGUCGCUGACCUGGGCCGAGGCACCCAGUCUUUACUCUGGCUGUCGGGAGAACCUUUCCUUCACUGCCAGCCCCAGGGCUCUGAACAGUGGCUAAGCUUCUCAGGGCUGGCUCUUCAGAGAUGCGCUGCGCCUUCAGGAGGACUGUAGAA